Molecule: non-coding RNA, 559 nt
Organism: Leptonychotes weddellii (Weddell seal)
Lineage: Eukaryota; Metazoa; Chordata; Mammalia; Carnivora; Phocidae
Source: RefSeq, a predicted model, not a curated record
UGUUAAGAACAGCAGGCUCUAGCAUACAUAAAAAUGGCUCUUUACCCCUCCCCCUGCCGGAAGCGGAGGAAGUUCUCCGAUUUAAUGCUGGGCAGUCUGGUAGAGCUCCUGGAGGUAAAUCUCUCAAUCUUGAGAGGGUCUCUCUGUGACUGCGGCCCGCCCCCUACCCCGGAGGUUUUAACCCUGAGCAUUGUCCACAUCGCAUGUCCAGCAACUGAACUCGUCGGUUACAGCUCAGGGUCCCCCCAGUCACUGGCUCCUGACUUGGUUCCUGCUCUGGAGUCUCUGCUUCUGUAGGACAGUUACAGAGGAUGGAAGAAGGGAAUAUUUAACAGAGAGGUGGCUACAAGAGUUGUGAAAGCAGUUGAAGGGCGGUGGAAGGUCACAGUUCUUCAAGAGACAAGUCAUGGAUUUGGGUCCUGAUUCAGAAACAUGCCAUCACUAUACUUUGAGAAAAUAUCACCUCUCAGAGUCCAAUCUUCAUCAUUUUAAGGUUCUAGCCACUGUCUACAUCCCUUGGCUCAUGGCCCUCUUCCUCUAUCUUCGAAGUCAACAAUGG